This 3327-nucleotide long non-coding RNA is filed under the name Homo sapiens (human). RNAcentral describes it as "SLCO5A1 antisense RNA 1, transcript variant 2 (SLCO5A1-AS1)". The record is from RNAcentral. Lineage: Eukaryota; Metazoa; Chordata; Mammalia; Primates; Hominidae.
ACACACACACACACACACCGGCGUACUGGAACCUCUCUCGCGAUCCCGCACCCAGCUUGAAUUCAGCAAGAAUCGAAAACAGGGGCGGUUCGAAGAUGGCCGAAUAGGAACAGCUCCAGUCUGCAGCUCCCAGCUUGAGCGACACAGAAGACGGGUGAUUCCUGCAUUUCCAACUGAGGUACUGGGUUCAUCUCACUGGGGCUUGUCAGACAGUGGGGGCAGGACAAUGGGUGCAGCCCACCGAGGGUGAGCCAAAGCAGGGCAAGGCAUCACCUCACCCGGGAAGUGCAAGGGGUCAGGGAAUUCCCUUUCCCAGCCAAGGGAAGCAGUGACGGAAAGCACCAGGAAAAUCAGGUCACUCCCACCCUAAUAUGCGCUUUUCCAAUGGUCUUAGCAAAUGGCACAUCAGGAGAUUAUAUCCCACGCCUGGCUCCCAGGGUCCCACGCCCAUGGAGCCUCGCUCAUUGCUAGCACACCAGUCUGAGAUCAAACUGCAAGGCGGCAGCGAGGCUGGGGGAGGGGCGCUUGCCAUUGCUGAGGCUUCAGUAGGUAAACAAAGCGGCCCAGAAGCUGGAACUGGGUGGAGCCCACAGCAGCUCAAGGAGGCCUGCCUGCCUUUGUAGACUCCACCUCUGGGGGCAGGGCAUAGCCAAACAAAAGGCAGCAGAAACCUCUGCAGACUUAAAUGUCCCUGUCUGACAGCUUUGAAGUGAGUAGUGGCUCUCCCAGCACGGAGUUUGAGAUCUGAGAAUGGACAGACUGCCUCCUCAAGUGGGUCCCUGACCCCCGAGUAGCCUAACUGGGAGGCACCCUCCAGUAGGGGCAGACUGACACCUCACACAGCCGGGUACACCUCUGAGACAAAGCUUCCAGAGGAACGAUCAGGCAGCAACAUUUGCUGUUCAGCAAUAUUCACUGUUCUCCAGCCUCCUCUGCUGAUACCCAGGCAAACAGGGUUUGGAGUGAACCUCCAGCAAACUCCAACAGACCUGCAGCUAACUGUCCUGACUGUUAGAAGGAAAACUAACAAACAGAAAGGACAUCCACACCAAAACGCCAUCUGUACGUCACCAUCAUCAAAGACCAAAGGUAGAUAGAACCACAAAGAUGGGGAAAAAACAGAGCAGAAAAGCUGAAAAUUCUAAAACUCGGAGCACCUCUCCCCCUCCAAAGGAAUGCAGCUCCUCACCAGCAAUGGAACAAAGCUGGAUGGAGAAUGAGUUUGACGAGUUGAGAGAAGAAGGCUUCAGAUGAUCAAACUUCUCCAAGCUAAAGGAGGAAUUUCGAACCCAUCGCAAAGAAGCUAAAAACCUUGAGAAAAGAUUAGACAAAUGGCUAACUAGAAUAACCAGUGUAGAGAAGUCCUUAAAUGACCUGAUGGAGCUGAAAACGAUGGCACAAGAACUACAUGAUGAAUGCACAAGCUUCAAUAGCUGAUUCCAUCAACUGGAAGAAAGGGUAUCAGUGAUUGAAGAUCAAAUUAAUGAAAUGAAGUGAGAAGUUUAGAGUAAAAAGAAAUGAACAAAGCCUCCAAGAAACAUGGGACUAUGUGAAAAGACCAAAUCUACAUCUGAUUGGUGUACCUGAAAGUGACGGGGAGAAUGGAACCAACUUGGAAAACACUCUGCAGGAUAUUACCCAUGAGAACUUCUCCAACCUAGCAAGGCAGGCCAAUAUUCAAAUUCAGGAAAUACAGAGAAUGCCACAAAGAUACUCUUCGAGAAGAGCAACUCCAAGACACAUAAUUGUAAGAUUCACCAAAGUUGAAAUGAAGGGGAAAAUGUUAAGGGCAGCCAGAAAGAAAGGUUGGGUUACCCACAAAGGGAAGCCCAUCAGACUAACAGCAGAUUGCUCGGCAGAAACUCUACAAGCCAGAAGAGAGUGGAAGCUAAUAUUCAACAUUCUUAAAGAAAAGAAUUUUUGACGCAGAAUUUCAAAUCCAGGCAAACUAAGCUUCACAAGUGAAGGAGAAAUACAAUCCUUUACAGACAAGCAAAUGCUGAGAGAUUUUGUCACCACCAGGCCUGCCCUAAAAGAGCUCCUGAAGGAAGCACUAAACAUGGAAAGAAACAACUGGUAACAGCCACUGCAAAAACAUGCCAAAUUCUAAAGACCAUCGAUGGCUAGGAAGAAACUGCAUCAACUAACAAGCAAAAUAACCGGCUAACAUCAUAAUGACAGGAUCAAUUUCACACAUAACAAUAUUAACCUUAAAUGUAAAUGGACUAAAUGCUCCAAUUAAAAGACACAGACUGGCAAAUUAGAUAAAGAGUCAAGACCCAUCAGCGUGCUGUAUUCAGGAGACCCAUCUCACAUGCAGAGACACACAUAGGCUCAAAAUAAAGAGAUGGAGGAAGAUCUACCAAGCAAAAGGAAAACAAAGAAAAGGAGGGGUUACAAUCCUAUGCUCUGAUAAAACAGACUUUAAACCAACAAAGAUCAAAAGAGACAAAGAAGGCCAUUACAUAAUGGUAAAGGAAUCAAUUCAACAAGAAGAGCUAACUAUCCUAAACAUAUAUGCACCCAAUACAGGAGCACCCAGAUUCAUAAAGCAAGCCCUUAGAGACCUACAAAGAGACUUAGACUCCCACACAAUAAUAAUGGGAGACUUUAAAACCCCACUGUCAACAUUAGACAGAUAAACGAGACAGAAAGUUAACAAGGAUAUCCAGGAAUUGGACUCAGCUCUGCACCAAGCAGACCUAAUAGACAUCUACAGAACUCUCCACCCCAAAUCAACAGAAUAUACAUUAUUCUCAGCACCACAUUGCACUUAUUCCAAAAUUGACCACACAGUUGGAAGUAAAGCACUCCUCAGCAAAUGUAAAAGAACAGAAAUCACAACAAACUGUCCCUCAGACCAUAGUGCAAUCAAACUAGAACUCAGGAUUAAGAAACUCACUCAAAACUGCUCAACUACAUGGAAACUGAACAACCUGCUCCUGAAUGACUACUGGGUAAAUAAUGAAAUGAAGGCAGAAAUAAACAUGUUCUUUGAAACCAAUGAGAACAAAGACACAACAUAUCAGAAUCUCUGGGACACAUUUAAAGCAGUGUGUACAGGGAAAUUUAUAGCACUAAAUGCUCACAAGAGAAAGCAGUAAAGACCUAAACUUGACACCCUAACAUCACAGUUAAAAGAACUAGAGAAGCAAGAGCAAACACAUUCAAAAGCUAGCAGAAGGCAACAAAUAACUAAGAUCAGAGCAGAACUGAAGAAGAUAGAGACACAAAAAACCCUUCAAAAAAUCAAUGAAUCCAGAAGCUGGUUUUUUGAAAAGAUCAACAAUAUUGAUAGACUGCUAGCAAGACUAAUAAAGAAGAAAA